This 379-nucleotide long non-coding RNA is filed under the name Homo sapiens (human). RNAcentral's name for it is "non-protein coding lnc-TRIM43B-11:1". Lineage: Eukaryota; Metazoa; Chordata; Mammalia; Primates; Hominidae. The record is from RNAcentral.
GGAUGGUGGGGGCUUUUUGUGCUACCUGGAAGCUGAGGGACAGUCAGAACUCUGAUGACGACAUGAAGGGUCAUCAAAGGUGUAGGCUUUGCCACUGGGCAGGUGGAAAUGUGACCAAACCAACAGUGAUUAUCAGUCAGGAAGGAGACAAAGUGGUGAGCAGGACUCAAAGCAUAUUCAUUCACACAGAGACACCACUGCUGAUGACAGACACUGUACACUGGUAGAGUAUGUCUGUUGUUAGCCUGGAUGGAGACAAAAGUGUUCACACACAGAAACGGGAUGGCAAAGACACAAAUUUUGUAAGAGAAAUUAAGGAUGGCAAAAUGGUUAUGACUCCCACUUAAUUUUUUUUUAUUUCCAUAGGUUAUUGAGGAAC